GAGCAGUGGAGGGAUAAGAAGAGAGAAUGCCGGAAUGAGUAGCGAGAGGAAGGUGGGAAUCCUUCCGGCCGAAUAUCUAAGGUUUCCAGAGUAAAGCUGAUCUGCUCUGGGUAAGUCGGGGCCUAAGGCGAGGUCGAAAGACGUAGUCGAUGGAUAACAGGUUGAAAUUCCUGUACUAUCCUGUAACAGAACUGUGGGGACACAGGCAGAGAGCGUGAGCCGGGAAUGGAAAGACCGGUACAAGCGAGGUAGGAGAAGAGUUGGCAAAUCCGCUCUUUAAUCUGAAGACGUGAUGUGGACUGAAAAUAAGUAGGGAAGCACGUGAGCUGACUGUCAAGAAAAGCCGCUAUUGUUUGCAGGAUACCCGUACCGUAAACCGACACAGGUGGAUGAGGAGAGAAUCCUAAGGCCGACGGAAGAAGCAUUGUUAAGGAACUCGGCAAAAUGACCCCGUAACUUCGGGAGAAGGGGUGCUCACGCAAGUGAGCCGCAGAGAACUGGCCCAAGCAACUGUUUAGCAAAAACACAGGUCUAUGCAAAACCGAAAGGUGAGGUAUAUGGGCUGACGCCUGCCCGGUGCUGGAAGGUUAAGGGGAGAGGUUAGCGCAAGCGAAGCUUUGAACUUAAGCCCCAGUAAACGGCGGCCGUAACUAUAACGGUCCUAAGGUAGCGAAAUUCCUUGUCGGGUAAGUUCCGACCCGCACGAAAGGCGUAAUGAUUUGGGCACUGUCUCAACAAUGCACCCGGUGAAAUUGAAAUACCAGUGAAGAUGCUGGUUACCUGCGCCAGGACGGAAAGACCCCAUGGAGCUUUACUCCAGCUUGAUACUGGGAUUCGGUAUUGCAUGUACAGGAUAGGUGGGAGGCUAGGAAAUGGUAACGCCAGUUGCCAUGGAGCCGCUGUUGGGAUACCACCCUUGCAGUACUGGGUUUCUAACCAGCAGCCGUGAUCCGGCUGGGGGACAAUGUCAGGUGGGGAGUUUGACUGGGGCGGUCGCCUCCGAAAGGGUAUCGGAGGCGCUCAAAGGU
RNAcentral lists this ribosomal RNA (1028 nucleotides) under human gut metagenome. RNAcentral's name for it is "bacterial LSU rRNA". It matches the Rfam family "Bacterial large subunit ribosomal RNA", at positions 1268 to 2317 of the family's 2925-position model. The record is from RNAcentral.